This 396-nucleotide ribosomal RNA is filed under the name uncultured bacterium. RNAcentral's name for it is "bacterial SSU rRNA". It matches the Rfam family "Bacterial small subunit ribosomal RNA", at positions 501 to 896 of the family's 1533-position model. The record is from RNAcentral.
CGACGUGCCAGCAGCCGCGGUAAUACGUAGGGUCCAAGCGUUAAUCGGAAUUACUGGGCGUAAAGCGUGCGCAGGCGGUUGUGCAAGACCGAUGUGAAAUCCCCGAGCUUAACUUGGGAAUUGCAUUGGUGACUGCACGGCUAGAGUGUGUCAGAGGGGGGUAGAAUUCCACGUGUAGCAGUGAAAUGCGUAGAGAUGUGGAGGAAUACCGAUGGCGAAGGCAGCCCCCUGGGAUAAACACUGACGCUCAUGCACGAAAGCGUGGGGAGCAAACAGGAUUAGAUACCCUGGUAGUCCACGCCCUAAACGAUGUCAACUAGUUGUUGGGGAUUCAUUUCCUUAGUAACGUAGCUAACGCGUGAAGUUGACCGCCUGGGGAGUACGGUCGCAAGAUUA